RNAcentral lists this ribosomal RNA (419 nucleotides) under uncultured bacterium. RNAcentral describes it as "bacterial SSU rRNA". It matches the Rfam family "Bacterial small subunit ribosomal RNA", at positions 29 to 447 of the family's 1533-position model. The record is from RNAcentral.
AGCGAACGGUGGCGGCGUGGAUUAGGCAUGCAAGUCGGACGCGAACGGAGAGCUUGCUCUCCUAUUAGAGUGGCGAACGGGUGAGUAAUGUAUGGAUGACCUACCUCGGACUCUGGGACAACCGCUGGAAACGGUGGCUAAUACCGGAUGGUCCUGGCGAUUCAUUUUGCCAGGUAAAGAUACUUGUAUUGGUCCGUGAGGGAUCCAUAUCCCAUCAGCUUGUUGGCGGGGUAAUGGCCCACCAAGGCAACGACGGGUAGCCGGACUGAGAGGUCGACCGGUCACAUCGGGACUGAGACACUGCCCGGACUCCUACGGGAGGCUGCAGUCGAGAAUCUUCCGCAAUGGGCGCAAGCCUGACGGAGCGACGCCGCGUGAAGGAUGACGGCCUCGGUUGUAACGUUACUGUCUACCCGACG